Molecule: long non-coding RNA, 488 nt
Filed under: Ficedula albicollis (Collared flycatcher)
Lineage: Eukaryota; Metazoa; Chordata; Aves; Passeriformes; Muscicapidae
Description: lncRNA (ENSFALG00000028544.1)
Source: RNAcentral
CAGCUUUGUCCAAGCAGUGUUUUCCAGCCUGGGAGCCUCAUGUGGUCUCACACCAAGUAUCAGCCCUAGGGUGGUCACUGGCUGCCAAGAAAAAAUCCAGCACUGGUAAGUAAAAAAAUCCUACAUGUCUAAAAUACUGAUGAGUAACCUAGUUAUGCUUUAGUAAAGUAUUGCUGUUUAUUCUGAUGAGAGUCAAAUCCUGCUAGCAUAUUUUGGGAAUUAUAGUUAGUGAUAGUUCAGAAUUGUUGCAAUGUACUCUCCUUAAAAUACAUUUAUUUCUCACUGAUAUAAUAAAAUCACAAAUACAGUGAGCUUCAGUGUUUAUACUUCUGCCUUAAAAACCUAUCUCAUCUGUCGUUUUUGCCCAAGUAGCCUUGUUGGAUGAAUGCUUAAUCUGCUUGAAUGGUGAAAAGGUGCUCCCAGGGUAGAAUUAUUGUUGUUUUCUAACUAUGGAGCAAGUAGGGAAAUUCCACUUGCCCCCUCCUUAA